UCCACGCCCUAAACGAUGAAUGCUAGUCGUCGGGACUCUUGUAGUUUCGGUGAUGCACUUAACAGAUUAAGCAUUCCGCCUGGGGAGUACGGUCGCAAGAUUAAAACUCAAAGGAAUAGACGGGGACCCGCACAAGUGGUGGAGCAUGUGGUUUAAUUCGAAAAUACGCGAAGAACCUUACCUAGCCUUGACAUUGAUUGAAUUUUCCAGAGAUGGAGAAGUGCCUUUCGGGGAACAUGAAAACAGGUGCUGCACGGCUGUCGUCAGCUCGUGUCGUGAGAUGUUGGGUUAAGUCCCG
This 298-nucleotide ribosomal RNA is filed under the name uncultured bacterium. Its description in RNAcentral is "partial 16S ribosomal RNA". It matches the Rfam family "Bacterial small subunit ribosomal RNA", at positions 794 to 1089 of the family's 1533-position model. The record is from RNAcentral.